UUCAUCUGCCACCAUCUGGUGAUUUUAAUUUUGAUCGCCUGGUCAAGGUGUUGUCUGACUUCUCUGCUGUAUAGUUGGAUUUUUUUCCCUUGCAACUAACAGAUAAUCUGGGGGAGGAAGAAGCUUUAGAGCUAAGCAAACAUUCUGCUCUUCACUAUAAAGCAAAGAUCAGCAAUGUGGAAAAAUGGACUGAACUGAAGGGAAAAGGUGGCAGAAAAGUCAGCUAAGAGCCUAUUGCCGUAAACCAGAUAGUCUGGGAGCAUCUGAGCAGAAGAGCCGCUGAAACCAUGGAAAUCAACUGGACAUUAUCCUUCAGCCUCCAGAGUGUCAUUAUCAUUAAAUCUAUCCUUGGCCUUCUCCAGCAGAGUGGUCUGUCUCUUUUCCACAUUACCCGCAGAGUUGCUAUGAUGAUCUGCAACAGGGAAUGAACCAUGCCCAGACCACAAGGAAGGGAGGAGGCAUGCCAUGUGUGAGUAGGAGAAUUGUUGGUUUCCAGAGGAGGCUUCAUGGAAGAAGAAGGAUCUGAGCCAGGUAUAGAGAGCAGCAGGAAGGACUUUCCAGGUACAGGAGAGCUGGCACAAAGCCAGAGAGUUGUGGAGCAAGAGCUGUAUAGGCAGUGUGCAAUUCAGAUGGAGCAAAUGGUAGUACCAGUUUGUUAAUAUGGACAGUAAGCCUAAAAAGACGGAUUGAGACAUGAUAGUGGAAAACCAAUCAACAGUUCUCUAUCACUUUGUUUGUUUGAUGAAAUACAUAUGACUUUUUGUAUUUAUCAGCACAACACAUUGUACUAAGCAUGUGAAGACUUUGAUACCACCUCUUAACUCAUCUUCUACCUGGCAAAACUCACAUUUUCAGGAAAUUAAAGCAAUCAGUGCCAUAAUCUUUUUUGUUGUGGUAUUGACAAAAAAACUUAACAAGCAUGCAUAUGAGCAAAUGAACUACUUAAAGUAUUAAAACAUUGACAUAUAUGAGGAAAACAAAGUAAAAAUAAGUUUUUCACAAUUAAAUUUUAUCUUUGACAAUGAGUUUUAGGUUUUUCUGUUAGGUGUCUAUUCUACUUCUACAAAAGCAAGAAUAUUCUCUGAAAGAACAUGCAUAAAUAAAUCCUGUUAUAUUAUAUUGUUAAAUAAUAAAAGAAGUGACCAGUUCUGACAUGUCAUUAAUAUGUGCAUGUCACUGCAUCAUUGCUUUGCAUUUACUGUAAUCACAGAUUUCUUGGUGCCAUGAAUGUUUCUCAUAGUAUUCUUAUUCAUGUAAAAUGAAUAAUGUAAAAUGUAAAGUGAUAUA
This is a long non-coding RNA of Chlorocebus sabaeus (green monkey), 1287 nucleotides long. RefSeq lists it as uncharacterized. The record is from RefSeq and is a predicted model, not a curated record. Lineage: Eukaryota; Metazoa; Chordata; Mammalia; Primates; Cercopithecidae.